RNAcentral lists this long non-coding RNA (8238 nucleotides) under Olea europaea (common olive). RNAcentral describes it as "long non-coding RNA (OEUR_LNC001721)". Lineage: Eukaryota; Viridiplantae; Streptophyta; Magnoliopsida; Lamiales; Oleaceae. The record is from RNAcentral.
GACGACGAUGCCUGGACGAGCCUUGGCAAAAUGUAAGGCUACAAAUUUACUGUCGGAAAAUAUCUUGAUCCAGGUUUUGCAUACGCAUUUGCAUCGGAACACGGCUCGGGCAGGGAGCCUCGACAGAAUUUCAACCAAAAUAUCUGAUGGUAGGUUCAUUAAGAAAACAUUUUUCUGGUUUAUGUAUUUGCAGUCUAUCGAAUUCUCCAUAGCUGCUGUAGUGGGGGUGGACUGGGGUGGGUUCUCUCUACAUCUAAGCCAAGGCAAAGAUGAAUUUAUAUAUAAGAGUUGUUGCUUUAUAAUAACGCUUUCAUCCAACAUAGAGGAAAAUUGGAAUACGGCACUUUUUAACGUUAUUUCAAGAUUCCAUUUCCCAUGUCAGUUUCUUGUUAGAAGGCCGGCAAGUUGUUUUCGUCUGGGAAAAUGCCAUUUUGUCCGAAAAUAUUUGACACUAAAGGUGAUAGGCACUUACAAAGUGUGCGGGUGCGGGUCCCACGUAAAUUAAAUAAUGUCUGACCCUCGAGUUGUGUGUUCAAUUAUCUCCUACGUCAACCGUCAUAUUCCUCUAACUCAGUCCUUUCGUCUGUUAAAUGACAGAUAGAGAUUGAAAAACAUGUUGCUUGUAUUUGAAUUUUGAGUUCAUUUUCAAUUUUUUUUAUUUUGAGAAUUUGUUUUAAAAUUGUUGAAACUCAUCAUUUUGAAAAAUUAAUUUUCGAAACAAAAAAAACUACAAAACACUUUUGAUUUGAGAUUUUAUAUAUUUUAUGUUUUUGUAUUAUAUUUUUAAAAAUUUUAUUUGUUAGAAUUUUAUAUUUUUAUUUUUAAAAACUAUUUCAUUUAAAUAAAAUUUUAUUCAAACAAUUGUUUUCUCUAUUUUGAAUGGUUUCAGUAUUUUAUCUGAAAACGUCAAAAAUGUAUUUUGAAUUUUAUGUUAUAAAUUUAUUCUUGUUUUCGAAAAUAUAUUUUGAGAAAUAUAAGAUCAAAAAUAUUUUCAGUGUUUUGCAACAUUGAGAACAGCUUAAAAUGGCAAACCAAACGUACUCUUAAAAAUUGUGUCAAUUUAACGGUUAAUUUUACUGAUGGCCACCGAAGUUUAACUUGUUUUACACUGAUCACUAAUUUUCAUAAAAAGUUUCAUUUAGUUUAUUGGUUCAGUUUGAUGCUUAUUCUUUAAUUGAAAAUCCUACUUCUUUGCAGGUUAGUGCGUGUACGUAUUGAUAGUCGAGUUAUAAAAAUGAUCCAAAGUUGAGUCAGUGGUUUGAAUAUAUUAUUUUGUAGAGUUGAGUGGUGAAUAUGAGACAAAAUUAAACUUUAGUGGCCAAGGUGAUAUUAAGUGUAAAUUCUAGUGGCCACUAGUAGUCAAUGAUUUGCAUUUUUCAUAUAUAUAUAUAUAUAUAUAUAUCUUUGUUGAUGACUGAAAAAGGACAUGUCAAAUUAAGAUCAACUUGAUACAAUUUUUGGGCAAUUGCUGGACAUCAUGCUACAGUGUCGAUCUUGAAAUACAUGUAAAUGUCUAAUAAAUGAGUUUGAUUGAGUGUUAACGUCAAUAGAUCAAGUUGUCAUUUUGCCUAUGUUUUCGAUGUCUCCUAGGUACCCCUAAGUCAUCACUAUUUUCCUUUGAUUGAUGGCAUCUGAAGACGACCACUUCAGAAGACACAAUUGUAUCAAUAUAAUUGGUCACGUUUGUGGUUAUAGUGUCAGCAAUGAAACACUUUCACAAAAAGCAAUGAUGAUGUUUUCAAAUGAUAAUGAUCGAUCAAGUUUGGUGAGAGAGCUGGCAAUUCGACCUCAAAUUAUAUUUUUGCAAUAGCAUUUUCAAUUUUCUGAAGUGGGUCCAUGACGAUCCUUGAGUUUGGUCACCAAAAAUCUUAAAUCUUCCUUAUAAGUAGCAAUGAUGAUAAUAUAUUCCAUAAUCAAUUUUUAGUCAUUUAUUAGAAAAAGGUAAUCCCUUAUCAGAAAAAAUUACAAAUUAUAAAAAGGCAAACUUUAGUUCCAUCAUGAGACUUGGUGCUCGGCAGAACUUAUGCUGAUGGAUUUGAGUUCUUUAAUUUUUAUUUAAUUCCUAUUCAAAGCUGCUUUUAUUAUUACCUUAACAAAACUUGGACUUUCAAAGCUGCUUUGACAAACAAUGUGGGUCCUUCAUAAUUAAUUAGUGGUCCCAACUAUUUUUACCAACUAAGGUGAGGAAUGAGAAUCAUGACGUUGCUUAAAUAGACGUGCCUACCGGCUUUUCUCAAAUCUUGACACCUCAAUAUAAUAAAUAAUGUUAUUCAACACCAGUGAUAUUUAAUGUCAAUUUAGGCGACAAUACUUACAGAUUCAACUAAGUAUAAUGAUUUAUAACUUAUUAAUAGAACAUAUAAUAUACUGACACAUAAAUAGAUGUUCAAUACUAUCGAUUUUAUAUAGCAUUAUUCCAAUGUGAGAUGUAUUUUAUUACAUAAGGUCCUUAUCUCGGGGCGAAUCAACAUAGAGGGCCUUCACAUGCGUUUUUAGAUACUCUCCAAAUUUGUGAAUGUGGAUAUUCGAGCAGUAAUUUUAAUUUAAACAAAUGUCUAAGUUCAGCGACCAUCUAAGCAAUUUUAAGCUUCUCAAUGUCCUACUGUCAAUUCCGUUUGCCAUACAAUGCUCACGUUAGAUACUCUCCGUUAAUAUGUAUACACUAGUGAGUGGUAACUUAAACAAAUGUCUAAAUUGUUUGUGACCAUCUUUAUAUUCAUCAGAAACUCGACUUACCCCAAACCCAUAUGUGGCUAUGCUAGGAUACCAAACGACUCCCUCGGGUGUCGGAGCCUAACAUAUUCCAGCGUAAUUGGAUUAAAAACGUAAACACUUUCUUCUUUUUAAUUCGUGUCCCGUGAGCAUAUCAAGUCAUUAACAGAAACCAUCAAGAACUAUAUUUGCAUUAGAGAAUUCAUUCAUCCUCUUGAGAUCAACUUUCACAAGAGAAUCAUCAUCAAGAUCAUUAUGAUCAAUUUCAUCUUCAAAUUCCACCACCUUGAUGAUAUUCUUGAAUAUUUCUGAUGGACGACGAGGCUUGGACGAGCCUAAAUUUAAUAUCCCAAGACUUUUACAAAAGUGAGGUUUUUUAUUUGUAUUUUGUGUUUCAAAGUUAGUAUGUGAAGGUUUUACAAAAGUCAUUAAAAGCUAUUGAUAUUUUGAAUAUCGAUAACUUUUAAAGACUUUAAAAUGUCUUAAGUUAAUUUCCCAAGUCUUUUAAGGAAUUUUACAAUGUGUAUAAUAUUUUUAUUUUUAAUGCCUUAAUACUUUUAUGGGAAAUUUUUCAAAACACCCUAUNNNNNNNNNNNNNNNNNNNNNNNNNNNNNNNNNNNNNNNNNNNNNNNNNNNNNNNNNNNNNNNNNNNNNNNNNNNNNNNNNNNNNNNNNNNNNNNNNNNNNNNNNNNNNNNNNNNNNNNNNNNNNNNNNUAUAUAUAUAUAUAUAUAUAUAUUAUUGAUUGAUAAUGCCACAAUUUAAAGAGGUUUGCAGAAGUAACAAACCAAAAAAGGAUCAUAACAAAUACUAGAAAAUUAGGAUAUACAUAUACAAAUUUAAAUAACAACCUAAUCUAAAUCCUGUUUCUAGAAAAUAAGAGGUAAGAUUACAACUAUGACAGAAAUAUUGUUCUUCAAAACUCUCCCUCAAGCUGGAGAGAAAAUAUUGAUGAUUCCCAGCUUGCUCACACAGUCUUCAAACAUCUGCCUGCUAGAUCCCUUUGUAAAAAUGUCUCCAACCUGGUUCUUGGAUGGGACAUAUGUUAUACAAACAUCUUCGCUCUCUAUCUUUUCUUUGACAAAAUGUUUGUCAAUCUCUACAUGUUUGGUGCGAUCGUGAUGAAUUGGAUUAUGAGCCAUACUUAUGGAUGGGUCUUAAGUAUGGCUGUUGUUGCUCAUCCAAAAGCCUUCUAAUCCAAAUAAGUUCACUAUAGCCAUGUGCUAAAGCUCUCAGUUCUGCUUCUCCACUACUUUUAGCUACUACACUUUGUUCUUUGCUUCUCCAAGUCACCAAAUUGCCCCCACACAAAUGUACAGUACCCGGAUGUAGACCUCAUAUCAUCAAUAGAGCUAGCCCAAUCAGAAUCGGUAUAGGUUUCAAUGCAUCUAUUUUGGUUUUUGCCAAAAAAUAAUCCUUUUCCCCAGCUCCCCUUUAAAUAUCUUAAAAUCUUGUUAAGUCAUAUUUGCUCCAAUAAGGAAGCUAUUAUGCUAUACUAAAAAGUAAAAACUAACUUUCAUACAAAUGUGAUGGCCAGUCAAAUAGAUUUUCUCGUAAAUAUAUCUAAAACUUUUUUCUUAAUAUGUUAGAAAUCGUUCCAAAGAAACACGUUGUAAAAGCAUAAAAGUAAUCAAGACUAUAUCGCGCAUCAAAAGCAAGUUCAUAAAAUUUAAGAUGUAAAAUAAAUUCUUUUAACCUCGAUGUGAAAAUUAGGAAAAUUGAGGAACCAAUGUUGGCAGUAAGUAAAGAUAAUGAAAAAGAGAGAUUUGAGGACCCAAUGUUGGCUGUAACUAAAGAUAAUGAAAAAGAAAGGUUUGAGGAUCCGAGUUCUACUUGUUGGUAAUGAUGAAAGACGGUUCAAGAGUGUAAGUUAGAACUUAUUGAUGCAUCUGUUUAUUCAGUGCUCUAGACGUGGCUUAUUCCCUGAGAUUUUGUGUUUCCUAAUUGAUGCGUUAAUCUUUUAUUUCAGCCUGUCAUUGCAGCAUUGCAAUGAAAUCAAGUCUUGCUUGAACUUAGAGAUGUUUUUCUAAGACAUUGAAGAAGAUUGUAGUUUAUACUUUUUCUGGCUAAUAGAGUUGUAAUAAUCCAAAGAAAAUUUUGACAAUUCCCAAGAGUUAGAUCCAUAUCCUUGUCUGUGUUUGACACUUCUACCCAAGUUCAAGCAACAUAGUUUUUGCCUCUAAUUCUUGGUGCAGUUAGAUCAUACUCGUGUUCUUUUGGUUGUUUCAACGGUCUCAUUUGAAUUUUAAAUUAAUUGAAUCAUUUUGGCUUUUAUUUCCAGGCUUUGGACACAUUUAACACUGCUGUAGUUUCUCCAAUCUAUUAUGCCAUGUUCACAUCGCUUACAAUUUUUGCCAGUGCCAUAAUGUUCAAGGUAUCUAAGAAUGUCCCUUGCAACAAUGUUACAGUGUUGCUAUUUUGUUUAAACUCUAAACCUGUACUCCACUACUCUAGGAUUGGGCUGGUCAGAGUGCUAGCAGCAUUGUUUCGGUUCUCUGUGGAUUUAUUACUGUACUUUCGGGUAAAAUGGUUUUGCACAGUACAAGAGAUCCAGAAAACACAGCAGCUGCAGGUAUGUCCACUUCUCUACUUGAGCACGAAUAUAUUCAUUGAAACAUCUACUUUAUUUGUGGCUGACUUUGUUUUCAGUAAUUCUUGGAACUUGUACUUUUUGAUGAUUGUUGCAACUAGCUUAUAGCAAAUGACGUAAUUUUUAUGAACUUAGCACUGAGCACUUUCUGUUUCAAGUUGUCCGCUCGAUUUUAUUUCUUUGCAGUUUAUGGUAGAUUUAUUGGUAAAUACCUUUUCCCGUUGCUUUUUGUUGCUGAUAUCUUUAUGCUUUGUGGGUCAAAAUUGACUACCAUAAUUCUAUUGAUAUUUUUUAGAUUAUUCAGCACUACCUCAAAUAUCAUGGCGGGUCCAUGCAAAUGGCGAAAUAUGGAAACAAAAAGACAAUGAUGAAUUGCACCCUGAAUUUGUGGCAAUUAUUCGGCAAGAACAUUUCAAGUAACGUAACAGAACUUGGACGAUCUUGUCACUCAAAGCUAUCUUCUAAAUGUUGUCUUCCAAGAUUCUUGAUCGCGAACUUUAGGUUGAUCUGCCGUUUGAGGAUUGUAUCUUUACUGAAUUUCAAAGGGAUUUAUUUAUUUAUUUUUUCCACGGCCCAGGCUUGAUUAGCAUAAGUAUGCAGUAGUUUCUAAUAAUAUUAAGUAAUUUUUUGUGCUUGUAUUAACUCUAAAGAUAGAACCACAUUGUAUUUUUAUGCCACUGAAAUGUCUACUCUUUACAAAAAGAUGAAAUGAAGAAAUUUCCCAUUUUGUAUUUUGAUUAUUGAAGAUAUAUGCUUUCUUUCUUAUUGUCCAAAGCAUUAUCUUAUGCCACACGAACCCAAGUUGCGUGUACCAAACAUGAAACUUUGUGUAAUGUGCUGGUUACAUUUGCAUGAAGACAUAAUUUUACUCUUUAUUGUGAACAGAGAGAUCACUUUCGUUAAAAUCAGUGGCAUCUCUUGAAUAAUGUUAACGUAUGACACAUGCCUACUUCCAAUUUCUUUAUAAUAACAGCACACUGUGUACAUAAUUUAUGCAUACAGAAUGAAUAUAAAUAUUUAUGUACGAUUGUGCACGUGUCACUAACUCGAGUAUCUAUUCCGUACUUGUCUAUACAGUGUUUAUUGUGGGCACGAUAACUGGUUAACUAGAGAUGUGUCUGUUUCGGUUCUCUCCUUGUUUUGUUGCACAAUCAAAAGUUACAAACAUUCUCGAAUCCGAAGUUCUUGAGUGAGACCAAACUUGAAACAUGGAGCAUCGCCUCGAUUUUAUUAGGCAUAAUAAUAAUAAUAAUAAUAAUAAUAAAUAAAUAAAUAAAAAAUAAAAAAUCUCGUUUAUUGUACAGUUUAUCCUCGACGAACACAAGUUGUGUGUACCAAACAUGAAACUUUGUGUAAUGUGCUGGUUACAUUGCAUGAAGACAUAAUUUUACUCCUUGUUAUGAACAGAGAAAUCACUUUUGUUAAAAUUAGUGGCAUCUCUUGAAUAAUGUUAACGUAUGAAACAUGCCUACUUUCAAUUUCUUUAUAAUAACAGCACAAUGUGUACAUAAUUUAUGCAUACAGAAUGAAUAUAAAUAUUUAUAUAUGAUUGUGCAUGUGUCACUAACUCAAACAUCUAUUUUGUACUUGCAUAUACAGUGUUUAUUGUGGACACGAUAACUGGUAAACUAGAGGUGUGUUCGUUCCGGUUCUCUCACUCAUUCGGGACCCACUAUUCCUUGUUUUGCUGCACAAUCAAAAGUUACAAACAUUCUCGAAUCCGAAGUUCUUGAGUGAGACCAAACUUGAAACAUGGAGCAUCGCCUCGAUUUUAUUAGGCCCUCGUGGUUGAUCGAGGUCGACUUCUUGUCCAACAUUGCUCUUAUUGCAACAGUACAGCAUAAAGAAGUCCCCCCAUAGCACCAUAAUCACCCCAUCUUUGAAAAUUUUGAAUGGAUAAACUACUUCAAGUGUUGGCCCUGUUAACUCUGUCAUUUUAGUGAUGACAAACUGUCGAGUCCAUGAUUUCUCUACGCCAUAUUCUUUCAUAACCCAGAUGUUGAUUUCACAAUAUGAAGUAUUAUCACAUAAACAUAAACGAUCUUGUAAAACUCCAAGACCCCCAAGAAGCCCCUCCUUGCCUGGAAAUGGAGCCGGGAAUGGUUGAAACACUUCGUUUUCUAGAUCGAAACACGAAAUCAUUUCAUGAGUAUCGUCUAAAUCUUUUAUCAACCAAUGAAUAUUUCCAUUGAAGAAUAACCCAACAGAACGACAACGACGACCAUAGGCAAAAUUCAACAUAUUUUCAUUAAUGCUUCUCCAUGAUCCGGUUCCGAGGGUGUAAACAUGACAUUCCGACCAUGGAAUUCUUAUGCAUGUUUGCCUAAUCGGGUCAAGAACCUGGUCGUGAAAAACUUGAACCACUUUAUAUUCACCAGAUACUCUACUUACCCCGAACCCAUACGUGGCCAUGCUAGGAUACUGAACGACUCCCUCGGGAUCCGGGAGCCUAACAUAUUCCCGCGUAGUUGGAUUACAAACAUAAACGCUUUCGUGUUCGUAAUUCGAAUCCCUUAAGCAUAUCAAGCCAUUAACAGAACCAUCAAGAACUAUAUUUGCACCAGAGAAUUCACUAAUCCUCUUGAGAUCAAAUUUCAGAAGAGAAUCAUCAUCAAGAUCAUGAUGAUCAAUCUCAUCUCCAAAUUCCACUAACUUGAUGAAAUUCUUGAACAUUUCAGAUUGAUGGACGACGAUGCCUGGACGAGCCUUGGCAAAAUGUAAGGUUACAAAUUUACUAUCGGAAAAUAUCUUGAUCCAGGUUUUGCAUACGCAUUUGCAUCGGAAGACGGCUCGGGCAGGGAGCCUCGACAGAAUUUCAACCAAAAUAUCUGAUGGUAGGUUCAUUAAGAAAACAUUUUUCUGGUUUAUGUAUUUGUAGUAUAUCGAAUUCUCCAUAGCUGCUGUAGUGGGGGUGGACUGGGGUGGGUUCUCUCUACAU